RNAcentral lists this ribosomal RNA (442 nucleotides) under uncultured bacterium. Its description in RNAcentral is "partial 16S ribosomal RNA". It matches the Rfam family "Bacterial small subunit ribosomal RNA", at positions 338 to 795 of the family's 1533-position model. The record is from RNAcentral.
CCUACGGGAGGCAGCAGUAGGGAAUCUUUCACAAUGGGCGAAAGCCUGAUGGAGCAACGCCGCGUGCAGGAUGAAGGCCUUCGGGUUGUAAACUGCUUUUAUAAGCGAGAAAUAUGAUGGUAACUUAUGAAUAAGGAUCGGCUAACUACGUGCCAGCAGCCGCGGUCAUACGUAGGAUCCGAGCAUUAUCCGGAGUGACUGGGUGUAAAGAGUUGCGUAGGUGGCAUAAUAAGUAGCUAGUGAAAUCUGGUGGCUCAACCAUUCAGACUAUUAGCUAAACUGUUAAGCUCGAGACCGUUAGGGGUAACUGGAAUUUCUAGUGUAGGAGUGAAAUCCGUAGAUAUUAGCAGGAACACCAAUAGCGUAGGCAGGUUGCUGGGACGGUUCUGACACUAAGGCACGAAAGCGUAGGGAGCAAACAGGAUUAGAUACCCGUGUAGUC